UAUGUGACCAGAAUAGCUUCUCUUUCUAAUAUAUGGUGUCUUUAGUCUAGGUAACUGUCAAUACGAACAUUUCAACAAGGUAAAUUCGUUAUAUAUUCAUAUCAAUCCAUUACUUCUCUUUCUGUGAUUCUUUCUUUCUUGUCUUUUUUGUCCAAUUUAUUUUCUUGUAUUAUGUGUAUGUUGCACAUCUUCAUAUUGCGCUUAAAAAACGAACAUGGGAAAAUUUACGAGUUGUUUUUCAUCAGGUGUUUUGAAUUCCUUAGAAUUAUCUAUGCUUAGUUGAAGCAUUGGUAACUCAUGUAGGGAGGUGCUGCCAACUAUUCAUGAAGAAAGGAGAACGUUGUCUGGUAAUUAUGGCAACAACAGUGAUUCAGCAGUUUUACAAGUACUUGAAGAGAAUUUAUUUAAAGAAACCCAUGCAACUAAUUCAAAUGAAAGAGAUAAUGGUGGUAGUUUAUUGAUGAAGCAUGUUUCAUCAGCUUGAGAUAAUGCAGCACCAACCUUUGCGGGUAUGCCGAAAAUGCUUUCAAACCAGAGGGGUAGUAGGACUAGGUCUAAAAGUGGUGGUUAUCCACGGCCCGUGGUUUUUCCUUCAUAUCCUUUUCAUUGUAAUUUUCUAUGCGACUUAAUUUUCCCCAUGAAUGUGUUUGUUUGGGUUGGUUUUUCUUUUUCUUAAUAAUACACUUAUUGAAAAAGCUUUAACUGUUUUGUACUCUUAAAAGGCCUGCAAAUGCAAGCACAACAAAAUCUGCAAAGAAAGAAUCAAAGAUUCCCAAAAUACCUACAUCAAGGUUAGGUGCUCAUUCACUUCCUAAAUCCAAUAAGAAUAAUGUGCUCAGUACAAGCCACUCAAAGCAUAAUCAGAUUGGUCAAACAGGUAUACUUCAAUUUUUGCUUGUCAUACUAGACCGUUUGUUGAAUCAAAUUUAUUGCCCGCAUCAGAAAAAAAUGGAUUUGUUCAAAGAAUAAUCAGAUUGGCUAACCAGGUUAUUAUUGUAACAGUAAUAAUUUUUAAAGGUAGUGAUAUGGUAUUUCAGGAUGAUGCACUGCCUGAUGGAACUGAACUAGUUUAUUUGAUUCUCAUUGAGGUGUUUACUGUUUCAAUAUUUGUGAGCAGGUCAGCCCUUCUCAGUUUGAAGCACAUGCGGGUUGGGCUUCUCGUCGCAAGCCAUGGAGGAAAUCUUUUACUUGGUACUGCAAAUAUUGCGAAAACAUGUUCCAGAAAGAAAAUUUUGUGGAACACAAUGCAAAUGCUGUGGCAGCUGGAAGAAUCACAGGAAUAGAUUCUCUAGAAUAGAUAACCAAGCGUUGCAUCCGCAUUGUUGAAACUACAGAGACUGAUGUUGGUGGAUGUGCACUGUGCAGGUUGUCUUCACACUCUUUUUUUCUCACCAUAAUUUCUCUUUAGAAGCUUAAGUUGUCUCUUAAUAGUUU
This is a non-coding RNA of Camellia sinensis, 1434 nucleotides long. The record is from RefSeq and is a predicted model, not a curated record. NCBI's taxonomy places the organism in Eukaryota, Viridiplantae, Streptophyta, Magnoliopsida, Ericales, Theaceae.